CCAGAAGGCUGAAGGAGCCUCUGGAGAAGAAGGCGAGGGCCGCCUGCCGCCAUCGCGGGGAGCCCCGCUGCGGGCCGUGGGGCUCAGGGCCGAGGAAACCAAGCUUUUAUUGCUGGAUAAAAAUAGAACGUGCGCAAACCGCUCUUCAGGCUGCUCGGUUGGGUUUGUGGCUAUUGGGAACGUGUUGGGGUGCGGUGAGCUGGGUCUGACUGUGCCGUCAGUAAACCCACCGCUGUUCUGAGAGAAAUCACCCGUCGUCCCGGUACAAAUCCCAGCAGCCGCGGUGUGACAGGCUUUGGUGACUGCUGGAUGCUGGCAUGUCGUUAAACAGCCCAACUCGGAACAGUUUGCUUACAUGCAGUCCUGUUUCAAAUUAAUAAGAAUCACAUCAAGAUGAUGCAAGAUAGACUCAUAGCCUCAUGCAAGAAAUAUGUACAAAUCUUGCACAAUCCACGCGUAGCGAUUGCGUUGUUUUGGCACCAGCGAGAGUACGUUUGCUGACACACUGCUGAGCAAAGGGACAGUGACAGUUUUUCUUAGAAAACUCAAAAGAUAUGCAAGAAACUGUCUUCUUCCACAGACCGCAUGUACUUAUCUAUGAUUUAUCAGAAAUGGCUCAAGAAGCUGACCUCAAGCUCCAAGUGCUGCUUGCUCCUUGCAAGGCCUUACGUUAUGGGGAUUUGUUCAUCUACCUCCAGUCAAACACAGUUACACUGUGAUAAGAAUGUACUGAAAAUUCAAACUGGUAUUGUAAAAGAGAGGAACUUAUUUUAGUACAGAGAGGUUGGAACCAACUUUUGCUUACGUGUUUUUUCAUUAAUAGAUUUUGUUUUCCAUUUAAAGGAAAAUAAUUUCCACUCUUAGUAAUGAAAUGGUCCACCUAACAGCAAUACAUGGAGUACUGUAGAUCUCCCAGCAAGUGUCAUGGGUUGGACUGACUUCCCAUCUAUUUAAAAAUGUGAUCUGUUGCCGUGAAUGUGUCGCGUAAAAAAAGCAGUUAAAAAUCCCAAAAAAGCAGUUAAAAAAAAAUCUCCCUCAUCCCCACUCAUAAAUCAGGAACUGAAACACUUCUUUGUAUCCUGCCUGACUUUUCAAGAUGGGAUUUUAGUGCUUCAGAAAAUUGCCAUGAUUUUGUAUUUGUACACUGUGUGGUGGUAAAAGAAAGCUACAGAUUCAUUUGUGGUUUCUAAGCACUGCCUAUUACAAUACAUAUUAAGCCAAGUUUAACAAGGACUUAAAUCAUGGUAUAAGUUUCUGAUUAUGUGCAGAUUGUUCCUAAAAGAAGAAUAUGUGAUAAAAUGAAGUCAGUUGAGCAAAUUCAGCUCAACAAGCAUGCAAAACAAAUGCUUAUGAGGAAGAAGUGUGGGAAGAAGAUCUAUACAUCUGGGGAGAACUGGUAAAUCUUACACUCUCCUGUGAGUUACUCAUGUCAUCAUGGGCUGGGGAUUAGGUGUUUUGGAGUAAUUGCCAUCAGUGAUGUGCUUGGCCUCCCUGCUAUGGAGAAGCUAUAGAGCACACAGUGCAUGCAGCAGCACUGGCAAGUGCGGUUGAGUUUGAAGGAGCUGGAAAUGCUCUGGGUUGUGCUGGGAGGUUUGGGAUCCAUAGGAAAGAGAUUCCAGUGAGAGCUGUGCUGGGGAUUUGUGCUUUGAGGGGGCCUGGAAAGGGCCAAGAGUCGGAGGGAGGAUUGCGUAGGAAUUAGGAUAAGGCUAGAACUGAAAAAGAGCAAGAGUUGGAGAACUGUAGUUUCCAAAUUUUUCUUACUGUAAUACUUUCACACUGUUAAUCCAGAGAGAAAAAAUGAAAGGGAAAUACUUUUAUAGCCCACUUGGCUUUCAACUUUUUCUGCCAGAAGAGCUUCUGUGACACCUUUGGCACGGGAGAAUAUUUGUUUUUCAGUUUAAAAUGGUAGUUUACCUGCUGAGGUCGGUAGAUGAAUAUUAUUGAGAGCUUGUGGCUUUCUGCCAUAAGGUUGGUAGUGCUAUCUUCCUUUUUGCAAGCCAGUUCAUAUAAAGUUGCACAGGUCACUCUGCCCAGCACCUCUCUAUGUGAACAGUUUAUAUUACCUGUAAGCUGGUUCUCAUCUUACACUCUCUGAAGAAUAAUCACUGAAGUCAAUGUUUCUUUUGGACACCAGGAUUAUAGCUUGUGCCACUAUUUAGUCACUGUUAAUUUUGACCCAUAGGUGUUUUGGAGAUGGAUAUUUGCCUGCUCUGCUUCUAAAUCUAGCUUGCUGCACUCUUACUACAUAAAAGUCUGGAAGAGACAAGAAGAGACCCCUCCCUCUAAAAUUUAAUCCAGAUUACAUGCAUUGUAUGGCACACAACAAGAACCACAGAGUCCUCUGCCAGUCCCAGAUCUUAUAAAAUCUAAACACACCAAUAAUCACGGAGUCUAUUUUUAAAUGUUUACCAUGACUCUCAAAGGCACAUACGCAUUUAACAUCUGUAUCUUUUUAAAGUGUUAUUUAUUCUAAUAUACCACAUCUCUGGCAGUAAUUUUGUGCUAAUUGCUCAGAACAUGCUGUCCUUUGGGAGGUUAUAAAUUUAAGUAUGACACUUACUGUGUUUUUUCAAAUUUACACAUAUUGAAUAUUUAACUAACUCAAGAUCAUUGGGAGCUUGAGGUGCCUGCCUAUUUCACUCCAAAAGUAUGGAUUUAUUACCAUGAGUCAGAGAAG
Phasianus colchicus (ring-necked pheasant) is the source of this 2677-nucleotide long non-coding RNA. RefSeq lists it as uncharacterized. The record is from RefSeq and is a predicted model, not a curated record. NCBI's taxonomy places the organism in Eukaryota, Metazoa, Chordata, Aves, Galliformes, Phasianidae.